This 274-nucleotide ribosomal RNA is filed under the name uncultured bacterium. RNAcentral's name for it is "partial 16S ribosomal RNA". It matches the Rfam family "Bacterial small subunit ribosomal RNA", at positions 523 to 796 of the family's 1533-position model. The record is from RNAcentral.
AUACGGGGGGUGCAAGCGUUAAUCGGAAUUACUGGGCGUAAAGCGCGCGUAGGCGGCUUGUUAAGUCGGAUGUGAAAUCCCCGGGCUCAACCUGGGAAUUGCAUUCGAAACUGGCUAGCUAGAGUAUGGUAGAGGGAAGUGGAAUUUCAGGUGUAGCGGUGAAAUGCGUAGAUAUCUGAAGGAACAUCAGUGGCGAAGGCGACUUCCUGGACCAAUACUGACGCUGAGGUGCGAAAGCGUGGGGAGCAAACAGGAUUAGAUACCCCAGUAGUCC